This 410-nucleotide ribosomal RNA is filed under the name uncultured bacterium. RNAcentral describes it as "bacterial SSU rRNA". It matches the Rfam family "Bacterial small subunit ribosomal RNA", at positions 370 to 772 of the family's 1533-position model. The record is from RNAcentral.
AAUGGACGAGAGUCUGACGCAGCAACGCCGCGUGGGUGAUGAAGGUCUUCGGACUGUAAAACCCUGUCGUCAGGGACGAAGGUGGCAGGACUAAUAAUCCUGUUACUUGACGGUACCUGGAGAGGAAGCCCCGGCUAACUCUGUGCCAGCAGCCGCGGUAAUACAGAGGGGGCAAGCGUUAUUCGGAAUUAUUGGGCGUAAAGGGCGCGUAGGCGGUUUUUUAAGUCAGAUGUGUAAUCCCCGGGCUCAACCUGGGAACUGCAUCUGAGACUGGAAGGCUAGAGUACUGGAGAGGGUGGUGGAAUUCCUCGUGUAGCGGUGAAAUGCGUAGAGAUGAGGAGGAACACCAGUGGCGAAGGCGGCCACCUGGACAGUAACUGACGCUGAGGCGCGAAAGUGUGGGUAGCAAA